Molecule: long non-coding RNA, 1327 nt
Organism: Mauremys mutica (yellowpond turtle)
Lineage: Eukaryota; Metazoa; Chordata; Testudines; Geoemydidae
Exons: 3
Source: RefSeq, a predicted model, not a curated record
AGCCUCUCUGAAACCAUUCCCACCUGCAACCCCAGCUAGUGGAGAAGGAAAAAACUAUUACAAGUUAGAGCCUCCGUUUGGACUAAAGGUGGAGCAUUUCAACACUGUGCAACAUGCUGUAUCAUGCAACCUUCAGGAUCAAGGCGUCCAGGAUGCAGCUAUUUCUUUAGGUUCAGGAUCAGAAUAAGCCUUCCUUUGCAAAUGUGUCUGCUAGCGAUUGGCUGGCUCCAAGGGAGACAGGGAGGAGGAGGAAGCAGAAGAGAAUUACAAGGUUUCAGAUUCCUGUAAACAGAGAAACAUUUUUCCAGUCAUCAGACUCCACGUCCAGUGGAAAUGGAGCUUCAAUUUCCCCUAGUUAACACAGAGGAUCUGGUGGCUGUGCUGUUGACAUACCCCCUUCUUCUCUAGCAAUUGCUGUAUGCUGUUUAGUCUGCUGCUGAUUCAGAAACCUUGUCUCUGGGCAGUCAUUGCUGUGGUUUCCUUCUCCUUUAUUUUCCAAGUGUGGCUGGCUUCCAGCCCAGGAGCAGGUGUCUAAGCUCUGGGGGAGGGGCAUGACAGCACUGACUUUCUCUCUCCAAACCCUGGAUCCGAACUCUGCCAAACUUGAUAAAAUUCAGAUGUGAACUUACGAAUUCAGGCUAAAUUCUGAUAAAGAGCAACAUAAAUUUCCCUUCAUCCCACUCCCUGCCCCGUCCUGAGAUACAUCUCCGUGUUUUCUAGUACGCCAUCUGAUUGUCUGUAUGCACCUGUUGUCUUUGGCCUUAUACUUUUGUAAACUCUUUUGAGCAGGGUUCUGUGUUUGUACAGCACCCAGCACCAUGAGGCAGGAGCAGUACAAGCUCCCUAAAAGUGUGGGGGGCGUGUCGGCGCCCGAACCAUGCUCCAACCCCCAUGCUGCCCCUUCCCCACACCACCCUUCCCCCCCAAGGCCCCAUCCUCACAUUACCCCUUCUCCUCGAGUGCCACACACCCCCACGCCGCCCCUUCCACUGAGGCCCUGCUCCCAUGCCACCUCUUCCCCUCAAAAUCCCACACCUUGUUCACUCCUCCCCGCCCCCACUCUCCCAUCACUCACUCUUAUGGCUGGUAAAAAAUGAGAGGGCAUAACCCUCCCACUUUUAAAAGUGAUGAGGCCAUGACCCCCAGGUCCCCCUGGAGCACCCCUGCAAUGGGGCCCUGGGCCAUGACUGGGACUCCUAGGAGCUACUGCAAUACAAAUAAAUAAAUAUUAGGAUAUGGCAGGAUCACCACUGCCAAUGACUGACAUUUUCCAUUAACCCAAUCAGUGUUAAUACCUUUAUGCGUAUGGAUACACACAGCUUGAUUC